This 254-nucleotide ribosomal RNA is filed under the name uncultured bacterium. Its description in RNAcentral is "partial 16S ribosomal RNA". It matches the Rfam family "Bacterial small subunit ribosomal RNA", at positions 524 to 776 of the family's 1533-position model. The record is from RNAcentral.
UACGUAGGGUCCGAGCGUUGUCCGGAAUUAUUGGGCGUAAAGAGCUCGUAGGCGGUGUGUCGCGUCGGCCGUGAAAACUUGCAGCUUAACUGUGGGCGUGCGGUCGAUACGGGCAUCACUGGAGUUCGGCAGGGGAGACCGGAAUUCCUGGUGUAGCGGUGAAAUGCGCAGAUAUCAGGAGGAACACCGGUGGCGAAGGCGGGUCUCUGGGCCGAUACUGACGCUGAGGAGCGAAAGCGUGGGGAGCGAACAGG